AGCAUUUCAAGUUAUUAUUUCAUUAAUAUUUACUACAUGAAGGAGAGGUCUCCUGGCAUCAGUACAGCUCAGCUAUUUGUCAAAUAAUGCCUCAUUCCUGGACUGAUGAUUUUGAUACAAAGUUAGAGUUAGCACAAUUUAAUAAA
Molecule: long non-coding RNA, 146 nt
Organism: Amphimedon queenslandica
Lineage: Eukaryota; Metazoa; Porifera; Demospongiae; Haplosclerida; Niphatidae
Exons: 2
Source: RefSeq, a predicted model, not a curated record